This 800-nucleotide ribosomal RNA is filed under the name uncultured bacterium. RNAcentral describes it as "bacterial SSU rRNA". It matches the Rfam family "Bacterial small subunit ribosomal RNA", at positions 8 to 800 of the family's 1533-position model. The record is from RNAcentral.
AGAGUUUGAUCCUGGCUCAGAUUGAACGCUGGCGGCAUGCCUUACACAUGCAAGUCGAACGGUAACAGGGAGCUUGCUCCGCUGACGAGUGGCGAACGGGUGAGUAAUACAUCGGAACGUGCCCAGUAAUGGGGGAUAGCUCGGCGAAAGCCGGAUUAAUACCGCAUACGCCCUGAGGGGGAAAGUGGGGGACCGCAAGGCCUCACGUUAUUGGAGCGGCCGAUGGCUGAUUAGCUAGUUGGUAGGGUAAAGGCCUACCAAGGCGACGAUCAGUAGCUGGUCUGAGAGGACGAUCAGCCACACUGGGACUGAGACACGGCCCAGACUCCUACGGGAGGCAGCAGUGGGGAAUUUUGGACAAUGGGGGAAACCCUGAUCCAGCAAUGCCGCGUGUGCGAAGAAGGCCUUCGGGUUGUAAAGCACUUUUGUCAGGGAAGAAAUCCUUUGGGCUAAUACCCUAGGGGGAUGACGGUACCUGAAGAAUAAGCACCGGCUAACUACGUGCCAGCAGCCGCGGUAAUACGUAGGGUGCAAGCGUUAAUCGGAAUUACUGGGCGUAAAGCGUGCGCAGGCGGUUGUGUAAGACAGGUGUGAAAUCCCCGGGCUUAACCUGGGAAUUGCAUUUGUGACUGCACGACUAGAGUGUGUCAGAGGGGGGGGUGGAAUUCCACGUGUAGCAGUGAAAUGCGUAGAUAUGGUGGAGGAACACCAAUGGCGAAAGGCAGCCCCCUGGGAUAACACUGACGCUCAUGCACGAAAGCGUGGGGAGCAAACAGGAUUAGAUACCCUGUAGUCCACGC